UAGUACAACCGAGGUGCGGAGGGCUGUCGCUGACUUUUUGUCGUGCACGCCCGAAGCGCUCUCACACAAUAUCCAUCUCACCCAUUUGUGCAUCAUCGCGUGGGUCCUGCUUUUUGGCUUGUUCCGAGGAGGGGGGCUCGCGUUUUCACACAAAACACUAGUUGCAUGUUUAUAGAAUGAUUAUUUGAUUGAAUAUAUAAAUA
Molecule: unclassified non-coding RNA, 203 nt
Filed under: uncultured Russula
Lineage: Eukaryota; Fungi; Basidiomycota; Agaricomycetes; Russulales; Russulaceae
Description: sequence contains ITS1
Source: RNAcentral